This 93-nucleotide transfer RNA is filed under the name Sphingomonas sp. RNAcentral describes it as "tRNA-Ser". It matches the Rfam family "tRNA". From Rfam's summary of the family: Transfer RNA (tRNA) molecules are approximately 80 nucleotides in length. Lineage: Bacteria; Pseudomonadati; Pseudomonadota; Alphaproteobacteria; Sphingomonadales; Sphingomonadaceae. The record is from RNAcentral. RNAcentral also lists the same sequence under 21 other names.
GGAGACGUGGGUGAGUGGCUGAAACCAGCGGUUUGCUAAACCGCCGUACCGGGAUUACUGGUACCGAGGGUUCGAAUCCCUCCGUCUCCGCCA